RNAcentral lists this ribosomal RNA (457 nucleotides) under uncultured bacterium. Its description in RNAcentral is "bacterial SSU rRNA". It matches the Rfam family "Bacterial small subunit ribosomal RNA", at positions 28 to 507 of the family's 1533-position model. The record is from RNAcentral.
GAUGAACGCUGGCGGCGUGCCUAACACAUGCAAGUCGAACGGAUGGCUUCGGCCAUUAGUGGCAAACGGGUGCGUAACACGUAGGUAAUCUACCCAGGAGACGGGGACAACGGAUGGAAACGUCCGCUAAUACCCGAUGACGUCGAGAGACGAAAGGCGAAAGCCACUCGUGGAGGAGCCUGCGGCCUAUCAGGUAGUUGGUGGGGUAAGAGCCUACCAAGCCGACGACGGGUAGGGGGUGUGAGAGCACGACCAGUCACACGGGCACUGAGACACGGGCCCGACUCCUACGGGAGGCAGCAGUAAGGAAUAUUGGUCAAUGGACGAAAGUCUGAACCAGCCAUGCCGCGUGAAGGAUGAAGGUCCUCUGGAUUGUAAACUUCUUUUAUCUGGGACGAAAAAGGGAAUUCCUUCCCACUUGACGGUACCCUAGGAAUAAGCACCGGCUAACUCCGUG